AAAUUGAAGAGUUUGAUCAUGGCUCAGAUUGAACGCUGGCGGCAGGCCUAACACAUGCAAGUCGAACGGUAACAGGAAGCAGCUUGCUGCUUUGCUGACGAGUGGCGGACGGGUGAGUAAUGUCUGGGAAACUGCCUGAUGGAGGGGGAUAACUACUGGAAACGGUGGCUAAUACCGCAUAACGUCGCAAGACCAAAGAGGGGGACCUUCGGGCCUCUUGCCAUCAGAUGUGCCCAGAUGGGAUUAGCUUGUUGGUGAGGUAACGGCUCACCAAGGCGACGAUCCCUAGCUGGUCUGAGAGGAUGACCAGCCACACUGGAACUGAGACACGGUCCAGACUCCUACGGGAGGCAGCAGUGGGGAAUAUUGCACAAUGGGCGCAAGCCUGAUGCAGCCAUGCCGCGUGUAUGAAGAAGGCCUUCGGGUUGUAAAGUACUUUCAGCGGGGAGGAAGGUGUUGUGGUUAAUAACCGCAGCAAUUGACGUUACCCGCAGAAGAAGCACCGGCUAACUCCGUGCCAGCAGCCGCGGUAAUACGGAGGGUGCAAGCGUUAAUCGGAAUUACUGGGCGUAAAGCGCACGCAGGCGGUCUGUCAAGUCGGAUGUGAAAUCCCCGGGCUCAACCUGGGAACUGCAUUCGAAACUGGCAGGCUUGAGUCUUGUAGAGGGGGGUAGAAUUCCAGGUGUAGCGGUGAAAUGCGUAGAGAUCUGGAGGAAUACCGGUGGCGAAGGCGGCCCCCUGGACAAAGACUGACGCUCAGGUGCGAAAGCGUGGGGAGCAAACAGGAUUAGAUACCCUGGUAGUCCACGCCGUAAACGAUGUCUACUUGGAGGUUGUGCCCUUGAGGCGUGGCUUCCGGAGCUAACGCGUUAAGUAGACCGCCUGGGGAGUACGGCCGCAAGGUUAAAACUCAAAUGAAUUGACGGGGGCCCGCACAAGCGGUGGAGCAUGUGGUUUAAUUCGAUGCAACGCGAAGAACCUUACCUGGUCUUGACAUCCACAGAACUUUCCAGAGAUGGAUUGGUGCCUUCGGGAACUGUGAGACAGGUGCUGCAUGGCUGUCGUCAGCUCGUGUUGUGAAAUGUUGGGUUAAGUCCCGCAACGAGCGCAAC
This 1112-nucleotide ribosomal RNA is filed under the name Salmonella enterica. RNAcentral's name for it is "bacterial SSU rRNA". It matches the Rfam family "Bacterial small subunit ribosomal RNA", at positions 1 to 1102 of the family's 1533-position model. RNAcentral also lists the same sequence under 6 other names. The record is from RNAcentral. Lineage: Bacteria; Pseudomonadati; Pseudomonadota; Gammaproteobacteria; Enterobacterales; Enterobacteriaceae.